RNAcentral lists this ribosomal RNA (492 nucleotides) under uncultured bacterium. Its description in RNAcentral is "partial 16S ribosomal RNA". It matches the Rfam family "Bacterial small subunit ribosomal RNA", at positions 29 to 507 of the family's 1533-position model. The record is from RNAcentral.
AGUGAACGCUGGCGGUAGGCCUAACACAUGCAAGUCGAACGGCAGCACAGUAAGAGCUUGCUCUUACGGGUGGCGAGUGGCGGACGGGUGAGGAAUACAUCGGAAUCUACUUUUUCGUGGGGGAUAACGGAGGGCAACUUACGCUAAUACCGCAUACGACCUACGGGUUAAAGCAGGGGAUCUUCGGAGCUUGCGCGAUUGAAUUAGCCGAUUUCGGAUUAGCUAGUUGGCGGGGUAAAGGCCCACCAAGGCAACGAUCCGUAGCUGGCCUGAGAGGAUGAUCAGCCACACUGGAACUGAGACACGGUCCAGACUCCUACGGGAGGCAGCAGUGGGGAAUAUUCGACAAUGGGCGCAAGCCUGACGCAGCCACGCCGCGUGGGUGAAGAAGGUCUUCGGGUCGUAAAGCUCUUUUGUUGGGGAAGAAAAACUGUGUAUGUAACCACCCCCGUUUUGACGGUACCUAAUCAGAAAGCCCCGGCUAACUUCGUG